This 250-nucleotide ribosomal RNA is filed under the name uncultured bacterium. Its description in RNAcentral is "partial 16S ribosomal RNA". It matches the Rfam family "Bacterial small subunit ribosomal RNA", at positions 524 to 773 of the family's 1533-position model. The record is from RNAcentral.
UACAGAGGGUGCAAGCGUUAAUCGGAAUUACUGGGCGUAAAGCGCACGCAGGCGGAUAGGUAAGUUGGAUGUGAAAGCCCCGGGCUCAACCUGGGAAUGGCAUUCAAAACUGCUUAUCUAGAGUGCAGUAGAGGAGAGUGGAAUUUCCGGUGUAGCGGUGAAAUGCGUAGAUAUCGGAAGGAACAUCAGUGGCGAAGGCGACUCUCUGGACUGACACUGACGCUCAUGUGCGAAAGCGUGGGGAGCAAAC